RNAcentral lists this ribosomal RNA (302 nucleotides) under uncultured bacterium. Its description in RNAcentral is "partial 16S ribosomal RNA". It matches the Rfam family "Bacterial small subunit ribosomal RNA", at positions 508 to 807 of the family's 1533-position model. The record is from RNAcentral.
GCAGCCGCCACGGUAAUACAGAGGGUGCGAGCGUUAAUCGGAUUUACUGGGCGUAAAGCGUGCGUAGGCGGAUAAUUGAGUCGGAUGUGAAAUCCCCGAGCUUAACUUGGGAAUUGCAUUCGAUACUGGUUAGCUAGAGUGUGGGAGAGGAUGGUAGAAUUCCAGGUGUAGCGGUGAAAUGCGUAGAGAUCUGGAGGAAUACCGAUGGCGAAGGCAGCCAUCUGGCCUAACACUGACGCUGAGGUACGAAAGCAUGGGGAGCAAACAGGAUUAGAUACCCCGGUAGUCCCUGUCUCUUAUAC